UACGAAGGGGGCUAGCGUUGUUCGGAAUUACUGGGCGUAAAGGGCGCGUAGGCGGCGUGUCAAGUCAGGCGUGAAAGCCCCGGGCUCAACCUGGGAACCGCGCUUGAGACUGGCAUGCUCGAGUUCGGGAGAGGAUGGUGGAAUUCCCAGUGUAGAGGUGAAAUUCGUAGAUAUUGGGAAGAACACCGAUGGCAAAGGCAGCCAUCUGGACCGACACUGACGCUGAGGCGCGAAAGCGUGGGGAGCAAACAGG
This 253-nucleotide ribosomal RNA is filed under the name uncultured bacterium. RNAcentral's name for it is "partial 16S ribosomal RNA". It matches the Rfam family "Bacterial small subunit ribosomal RNA", at positions 524 to 776 of the family's 1533-position model. The record is from RNAcentral.